This is a small nucleolar RNA of Lolium rigidum, 134 nucleotides long. Lineage: Eukaryota; Viridiplantae; Streptophyta; Magnoliopsida; Poales; Poaceae. The record is from RefSeq and is a predicted model, not a curated record.
UCCAGUUCCAGAGGAUGAUUUAAGUUCCUCAUGGUGUAAUGUCUUGGACCCGACAUGCGAUUCUUUGAUGUGUCGUAUAUCCUGAUUGGUGGCUUUCAUUGUGCCAGCUGAUCUUGGAAAUGCCACAAAUUAUU